UGGGGGAAACCCUGAUCCAGCAAUGCCGCGUGAGUGAAGAAGGCCUUAGGGUUGUAAAGCUCUUUCGCCCGCGAAGAUAAUGACGGUAGCGGGAGAAGAAGCCCCGGCUAACUCCGUGCCAGCAGCCGCGGUAAUACGGAGGGGGCUAGCGUUGUUCGGAAUUACUGGGCGUAAAGCGUACGUAGGCGGAUGCGCAAGUUGGGGGUGAAAGCCCGGGGCUUAACCUCGGAAUUGCCCUCAAAACUGCACGUCUUGAGACCGAGAGAGGUAAGGGGAAUUCCUAGUGUAGAGGUGAAAUUCGUAGAUAUUAGGAAGAACACCGGUGCCGAAGGCGACUUACUGGCUCGGUACUGACGCUGAGGUACGAAAGCGUAGGGAGCAAACA
RNAcentral lists this ribosomal RNA (385 nucleotides) under uncultured bacterium. RNAcentral's name for it is "bacterial SSU rRNA". It matches the Rfam family "Bacterial small subunit ribosomal RNA", at positions 372 to 774 of the family's 1533-position model. The record is from RNAcentral.